GAGUGUGUGGCUCAGUGGUAGAGCACUCGCCUAGCAUGUGUGGGGCCCUGGGAUCCAUUCCCAGUACUUCA
This is a non-coding RNA of Ictidomys tridecemlineatus (thirteen-lined ground squirrel), 71 nucleotides long. The record is from Rfam. Lineage: Eukaryota; Metazoa; Chordata; Mammalia; Rodentia; Sciuridae.